CCUACGGGAGGCAGCAGUGGGGAAUAUUUGGCAAUGGGCGCAAGCCUGACCCAGCAACGCCGCGUGAAGGAUGACUGCCCUACGGGUUGUAAACUUCUUUUAUAAAGGAAUAAAGUGAGGCACGUGUGCCUUUUUGUAUGUACUUUAUGAAUAAGGAUCGGCUAACUACGUGCCAGCAGCCGCGGUAAUACGGAGGGUGCGAGCGUUAAUCGGAAUUACUGGGCGUAAAGCGCUCGUAGGCGGUAUGUCAAGUCAAGGGUGAAAUCCCCGCGCUCAACGUGGGAACUGCCUUUGAAACUGGCAAACUGGAGUGUGUGAGAGGAUAGUGGAAUUCCAGGUGUAGGAGUGAAAUCCGUAGAUAUCACGAAGAACUCCGAUUGCGAAGGCAGCCUACUAAACUGCCACUGACAUUGAUGCUCGAAAGUGUGGGUAUCAAACAGGAUUAGAUACCCUUGUAGUC
RNAcentral lists this ribosomal RNA (460 nucleotides) under uncultured bacterium. RNAcentral's name for it is "partial 16S ribosomal RNA". It matches the Rfam family "Bacterial small subunit ribosomal RNA", at positions 338 to 795 of the family's 1533-position model. The record is from RNAcentral.